GAUGAACGCUGGCGGCGUGCCUAAUACAUGCAAGUCGAGCGAACAGACGAGGAGCUUGCUCCUCUGACGUUAGCGGCGGACGGGUGAGUAACACGUGGAUAACCUACCUAUAAGACUGGGAUAACUUCGGGAAACCGGAGCUAAUACCGGAUAAUAUAUUGAACCGCAUGGUUCAAUAGUGAAAGACGGUUUUGCUGUCACUUAUAGAUGGAUCCGCGCCGCAUUAGCUAGUUGGUAAGGUAACGGCUUACCAAGGCGACGAUGCGUAGCCGACCUGAGAGGGUGAUCGGCCCCACUGGAACUGAGCCACGGUCCAGACUCCUACGGGAGGCAGCAGUAGGGAAUCUUCCGCAAUGGGCGAAAGCCUGACGGAGCAACGCCGCGUGAGUGAUGAAGGUCUUCGGAUCGUAAAACUCUGUUAUUAGGGAAGAACAAAUGUGUAAGUAACUAUGCACGUCUUGACGGUACCUAAUCAGAAAGCCACGGCUAACUACGUG
This 497-nucleotide ribosomal RNA is filed under the name uncultured bacterium. RNAcentral's name for it is "partial 16S ribosomal RNA". It matches the Rfam family "Bacterial small subunit ribosomal RNA", at positions 28 to 507 of the family's 1533-position model. The record is from RNAcentral.